CUGAGUCCUCAGAGAUUGGGAUGAUGCUGCCUUGGUGUGAAUACCAUCUUUCCCCCUUUAUGCUUCUUAUGCCCAGAGACGGGGAGGAGGAGGUGCAUAUACAGAUUAAAAAGGAUAGAAGGUAAAGGGAGAGGGUAGCUGUAGCAACUGGAGAUAUCAGAAAAGGCUUUAGUCCCUUCAGCUGGAACUAGAAGGGAGCUAAGGCUCUAAGAGGGGGAAGUAGGGUAGGAGGGCAUUUUAAGGUGGGUGACACCUUGAAGGAUCAGAGAGAAGAGAGGGAGUGUCAUGUAUUAGGAACAGUAAAGAUGUUUCACUUGGCGAAUCCAUGAGUUUAUCAAGUGUUCAUGAAGCUGUCGCUGGAACUCUUCGCAUGCCUAAAUAUGGGUCGCCUCCUCUCCCUCCUCUCCAGGUGGGGCCACCAGCCACGGGUAGGAGGCUCAGACCAACAUGACAACACGUGGAUUAUUUUGGACCAUACUGAAGAUGAACAUUUCUGCCCUGUUUUCCACAGCCUUUAUAGGAAGAAAGGUCUUGUAGUAAGAAGACAUAAAUGCUGAUCUCUACUCUGAUACUUACCUGACG
Phascolarctos cinereus (koala) is the source of this 582-nucleotide non-coding RNA. The record is from RefSeq and is a predicted model, not a curated record. Lineage: Eukaryota; Metazoa; Chordata; Mammalia; Diprotodontia; Phascolarctidae.